Molecule: ribosomal RNA, 253 nt
Filed under: uncultured bacterium
Lineage: Bacteria
Description: partial 16S ribosomal RNA
Rfam family: Bacterial small subunit ribosomal RNA
Source: RNAcentral
GACGUAGGAGGCGAGCGUUAUCCGGAUUCACUGGGCGUAAAGCGCAUGUAGGCGGUUGCACAAGUCCGUUGUUAAAGCCCCUGGCUCAACUGGGGGAGGUCAAUGGAGACUGUGCGACUUGAGGGCAAUAGAGGCACGUGGAACUCCCGGUGUAGCGGUGGAAUGCGUAGAGAUCGGGAAGAACACCAGUGGCGAAGGCGACGUGCUGGGUUGCACCUGACGCUGAGAUGCGAAAGUGUGGGGAGCGAACAGG